RNAcentral lists this long non-coding RNA (207 nucleotides) under Gossypium raimondii (Peruvian cotton). RNAcentral describes it as "long non-coding RNA (GRAI_LNC003921)". The record is from RNAcentral. Lineage: Eukaryota; Viridiplantae; Streptophyta; Magnoliopsida; Malvales; Malvaceae.
AACGAGAUUAUAAAAUCAUAGGCAAUACGGACAUGAAUUCGUACAUAUGGUCUACUGAGAGAUUCAUGCAUAAAUUAAAGCCUCCAAUGGUGAAAGCGAUGAAUAAAGAUAAUGACAAUGAUCGAUUCUAACGAAUCUUAGAAAAGCUUAACUGAUUGGAGACGUCUGUCAAACUAAUGAAAGUGGAGCCACAUUCCGAAAACCAAC